This 465-nucleotide ribosomal RNA is filed under the name uncultured bacterium. Its description in RNAcentral is "partial 16S ribosomal RNA". It matches the Rfam family "Bacterial small subunit ribosomal RNA", at positions 28 to 507 of the family's 1533-position model. The record is from RNAcentral.
GACGAACGCUGGCGGCGUGCUUAACACAUGCAAGUCGAACGGAAAGGCCCUGCUUGCAGGGUACUCGAGUGGCCAACGGGUGAGUAACACGUGGGUGAUCUGCCCUGCACUUCGGGAUAAGCCUGGGAAACUGGGUCUAAUACCGGAUAGGAACCAUUUUUAGUGUGAUGGUUGGAAAGUUUUUUCGGUGUAGGAUGAGCUCGCGGCCUAUCAGCUUGUUGGAGGGGUAAUGGCCUACCAAGGCGGCGACGGGUAGCCGGCCUGAGAGGGUGGACGGCCACAUUGGGACUGAGAGACGGCCCAGACUCCUACGGGAGGCAGCAGUGGGGAAUAUUGAACAAUGGGCGCAAGCCUGAUGCAGCGACGCCGCGUGGGGGAUGACGGCCUUCGGGUUGUAAACUCCUUGCGCUAGGGACGAAGCUUUUUGUGACGGUACCUAGAUAAGAAGCACCGGCUAACUACGUG